This 253-nucleotide ribosomal RNA is filed under the name uncultured bacterium. Its description in RNAcentral is "partial 16S ribosomal RNA". It matches the Rfam family "Bacterial small subunit ribosomal RNA", at positions 524 to 776 of the family's 1533-position model. The record is from RNAcentral.
UACGGAGGGUGCAAACGUUGCUCGGAAUUAUUGGGCGUAAAGCGCACGUAGGUGGCCUGUUAAGUCGGGUGUGAAAUCCCUGGGCUCAACCCAGGAAGUGCACUCGAAACUGGCAGGCUUGAGUACUGAAGAGGGUCGCGGAAUUCCCGGUGUAGAGGUGAAAUUCGUAGAUAUCGGGAGGAACACCAGUGGCGAAGGCGGCGACCUGGGCAGAUACUGACACUGAGGUGCGAAAGCGUGGGGAGCAAACAGG